CCCUUAGAUGUUUUGGGCCGCACACGCGCUACACUGAAGGAGGCAGCGUGUACUCCUGGAUCGAAAGAUUUGGGUAACCCGCGAAUCUCCUUCGUGCUAGGGAUUGAGGUUUGCAAUUAUCCUUCAUGAACGAGGAAUUCCCAGUAAGUGCAAGUCAUAAGCUUGCGCUGACUACGUCCCUGCCCUUUGUACACACCGCCCGUCGCUACUACCGAUUGAAUGAUUUAGUGAGGACUUCGGACUGGGACCGAUGCGGCUUUCGGGCUGCGUCGGUAUUCUGGAAAGAUGUCCAAACUGUAUCAUUUAGAGGAAGUAAAAGUCGUAACA
This 327-nucleotide ribosomal RNA is filed under the name uncultured eukaryote. RNAcentral describes it as "partial 18S ribosomal RNA". It matches the Rfam family "Eukaryotic small subunit ribosomal RNA", at positions 1470 to 1796 of the family's 1831-position model. The record is from RNAcentral.